UACGUAGGGUGCGAGCGUUAAUCGGAAUUACUGGGCGUAAAGCGUGCGUAGGCGGUUCGUUAAGUCAGUUGUGAAAGCCCCGGGCUCAACCUGGGAAUUGCGGUUGAAACUGGCGAACUAGAAUCUGGCAGAGGGGGGUGGAAUUCCACGGUGUAGCAGUGAAAUGCGUAGAGAUGUGGAGGACACCGAUGGCGAAGGCAGCCCCCUGGGCUGAGAUUGACGCUCAGGC
Molecule: ribosomal RNA, 229 nt
Filed under: uncultured bacterium
Lineage: Bacteria
Description: partial 16S ribosomal RNA
Rfam family: Bacterial small subunit ribosomal RNA
Source: RNAcentral